CGGGAUACAGCAGUAAUUAAAAUUAAGCAAUAAACGAAAGUUUGACUAAGUUAUGCAACAUUAUAUAGGGUUGGUAAAUUUCGUGCCAGCCACCGCGGUCAUACGAUUAACCCUAAUUAAUAAAACCCGGCGUAAAGAGUGUUAAAAUUACAAAAACAAUAAGAUUAAAUUUUACCUAAGUCGUAAAAAACAACAGAUAAAAAUAAAAUCAUAAACGAAAGUAAUCUUAAUAAAUCUGAAUACACUAAAGCUAAGACCCAAACUGGGAUUAGAUACCCCACUAUGCUUAGCCAUAAACAAAGAUAUUUAAUAACAAAAAUUUUCGCCAGAGUACUACUAGCAACAGCUUAAAACUCAAAGGACUUGGCGGUGCUUUAAACCCACCUAGAGGAGCCUGUUCUAUAAUCGAUAAACCCCGAUAUACCUUACCACUUCUUGCUAAUCCAGUCUAUAUACCGCCAUCUCCAGCAAACCCCAACAGGGAUUAAAAGUAAGCACAACUAUACUCGUAAAAACGUUAGGUCAAGGUGUAACUAAUGAAGUGGAAAGCAAUGGGCUACAUUUUCUUCUUCCAAGAAAACAACAACAGUAAUCUUUAUGAAAUUAAAGAUUUAAGGAGGAUUUAGUAGUAAAUUAAGAAUAGAGAGCUUAA
This 652-nucleotide ribosomal RNA is filed under the name Capromys pilorides (Desmarest's hutia). RNAcentral describes it as "partial 12S ribosomal RNA". It matches the Rfam family "Bacterial small subunit ribosomal RNA", at positions 342 to 1361 of the family's 1533-position model. Lineage: Eukaryota; Metazoa; Chordata; Mammalia; Rodentia; Capromyidae. The record is from RNAcentral.